GACGAACGCUGGCGGCGUGCCUAAUACAUGCAAGUUGAGCGCUGAAGGUUGGUACUUGUACCAACUGGAUGAGCAGCGAACGGGUGAGUAACGCGUGGGGAAUCUGCCUUUGAGCGGGGGACAACAUUUGGAAACAAAUGCUAAUACCGCAUAAAAACUUUAAACACAAGUUUUAAGUUUGAAAGAUGCAAUUGCAUCACUCAAAGAUGAUCCCGCGUUGUAUUAGCUAGUUGGUGAGGUAAAGGCUCACCAAGGCGAUGAUACAUAGCCGACCUGAGAGGGUGAUCGGCCACAUUGGGACUGAGACACGGCCCAAACUCCUACGGGAGGCAGCAGUAGGGAAUCUUCGGCAAUGGACGAAAGUCUGACCGAGCAACGCCGCGUGAGUGAAGAAGGUUUUCGGAUCGUAAAACUCUGUUGGUAGAGAAGAACGUUGGUGAGAGUGGAAAGCUCAUCAAGUGACGGUAACUACCCAGAAAGGGACGGCUAACUACGUG
Molecule: ribosomal RNA, 497 nt
Filed under: uncultured bacterium
Lineage: Bacteria
Description: partial 16S ribosomal RNA
Rfam family: Bacterial small subunit ribosomal RNA
Source: RNAcentral